UACGUAGGCGGUUUUUUAAGUCAGGUGUGAAAGCGUGAGGCUUAACCUCAUUAAGCACUUGAAACUGGAAGACUUGAGUGAAGGAGAGGAAAGUGGAAUUCCUAGUGUAGCGGUGAAAUGCGUAGAUAUUAGGAGGAAUACCGGUGGCGAAGGCGACUUUCUGGACUUUUACUGACGCUCAGGUACGAAAGCGUGGGUAGCAAACA
RNAcentral lists this ribosomal RNA (206 nucleotides) under uncultured bacterium. RNAcentral describes it as "partial 16S ribosomal RNA". It matches the Rfam family "Bacterial small subunit ribosomal RNA", at positions 568 to 774 of the family's 1533-position model. The record is from RNAcentral.